UACGAGGGGUGCGAGCGUUGCUCGGAAUUAUUGGGCGUAAAGGGUAGGUAGGUGGUCUCAUUUGUCUAGGGUGAAAGCCUUGAGCUUAACUCAAGAAGUGCCCUAGAAACGGUGAGACUGGAGUCUUGGAGAGGGUUGUGGAAUUCCCGGUGUAGCGGUGAAAUGCGUAGAGAUCGGGAGGAACACCAGCGGCGAAGGCGUCAACCUGGACAAGUACUACACUCAACUACGAAAGCGUGGGGAGCAAACAG
Molecule: ribosomal RNA, 251 nt
Filed under: uncultured bacterium
Lineage: Bacteria
Description: partial 16S ribosomal RNA
Rfam family: Bacterial small subunit ribosomal RNA
Source: RNAcentral